This 192-nucleotide ribosomal RNA is filed under the name uncultured bacterium. Its description in RNAcentral is "partial 16S ribosomal RNA". It matches the Rfam family "Bacterial small subunit ribosomal RNA", at positions 337 to 520 of the family's 1533-position model. The record is from RNAcentral.
UCCUACGGGAGGCAGCAGUAGGGAAUAUUGCGCAAUGGGGGAAACCCUGACGCAGCAACGCCGCGUGAGUGAUGAAGGCUUUCGGGUCGUAAAACUCUGUUGUUAGGGAAGAACAAGUGCUAGUUGAAUAAGCUGGCACCUUGACGGUACCUAACCAGAAAGCCACGGCUAACUACGUGCCAGCAGCCGCGG